This 497-nucleotide ribosomal RNA is filed under the name uncultured bacterium. RNAcentral describes it as "partial 16S ribosomal RNA". It matches the Rfam family "Bacterial small subunit ribosomal RNA", at positions 28 to 507 of the family's 1533-position model. The record is from RNAcentral.
GACGAACGCUGGCGGCGUGCCUAAUACAUGCAAGUUGAGCGCUGAAGGUUGGUACUUGUACCGACUGGAUGAGCAGCGAACGGGUGAGUAACGCGUGGGGAAUCUGCCUUUGAGCGGGGGACAACAUUUGGAAACGAAUGCUAAUACCGCAUAAAAACUUUAAACACAAGUUUUAAGUUUGAAAGAUGCAAUUGCAUCACUCAAAGAUGAUCCCGCGUUGUAUUAGCUAGUUGGUGAGGUAAAGGCUCACCAAGGCGAUGAUACAUAGCCGACCUGAGAGGGUGAUCGGCCACAUUGGGACUGAGACACGGCCCAAACUCCUACGGGGGGCAGCAGUAGGGAAUCUUCGGCAAUAGACGAAAGUCUGACCGAGCAACGCCGCGUGAGUGAAGAAGAUUUUCGGAUCGUAAAACUCUGUUGGUAGAGAAGAACGUUGGUGAGAGUGGAAAGCUCAUCAAGUGACGGUAACUACCCAGAAAGGGACGGCUAACUACGUG